RNAcentral lists this ribosomal RNA (880 nucleotides) under uncultured archaeon. Its description in RNAcentral is "bacterial SSU rRNA". It matches the Rfam family "Archaeal small subunit ribosomal RNA", at positions 1 to 891 of the family's 1478-position model. The record is from RNAcentral.
CCCAUAUGGUCGACCUGCAGGCGGCCGCACUAGUGAUUUGAUUAAGCCAUGCGAGUCGAGAGGGUUCGGCCCUCGGCGUACUGCUCAGUAACACGUGGAUAACCUGCCCUAAGGAAGGGGAUAACCUCGGGAAACUGAGGAUAAUACCCUAUAGGAUACCGAUGCUGGAAUGCCCGGUAUCCCAAAGCUCCGGCGCCUUAGGAUGGAUCUGCGGCCGAUUAGGUCGUUGUUGGGGUAACGGCCCAACAAGCCGAUAAUCGGUACGGGUUGUGGGAGCAAGAGCCCGGAGUUGGAUUCUGAGACACGAAUCCAGGCCCUACGGGGCGCAGCAGGCGCGAAAACUUUACAAUGCGGGCAACCGUGAUAAGGGAACCUCGAGUGCCUGUACAUGCAGGCUGUCUGGGUGUCUAAAACACACCCAAAGAAAGGGCCGGGCAAGACCGGUGCCAGCCGCCGCGGUAAUACCGGCGGCUCGAGUGGUGGCCACUUUUAUUGGGCUUAAAGCGUUCGUAGCUGGGUUGUUAAGUCUCUUGGGAAAUCUGGCAGCUUAACUGUCAGGCGUCUAAGAGAUACUGGCAAUCUUGGAACCGGGAGAGGUGAGGGGUACUUCGGGGGUAGGAGUGAAAUCCUGUAAUCCUCGAGGGACCACCUGUGGCGAAGGCGCCUCACCAGAACGGCUUCGACAGUGAGGGACGAAAGCUGGGGGAGCAAACCGGAUUAGAUACCCGGGUAGUCCCAGCCGUAAACGAUGCGCGUUAGGUAUGUCGAUGACCACGAGUCAUCGAGGUGCCGAAGGGAAACCGUGAAACGCGCCGCCUGGGAAGUACGGUCGCAAGGCUGAAACUUAAAGGAAUUGGCGGGGGAGCAAAUCCCGCGGCCA